GACGAACGCUGGCGGCGUGCUUAACACAUGCAAGUCGAACGGAAAGGCCCUGCUUUUGUGGGGUGCUCGAGUGGCGAACGGGUGAGUAACACGUGAGUAACCUGCCCUUGACUUUGGGAUAACUUCAGGAAACUGGGGCUAAUACCGGAUAGGAGCUCCUGCUGCAUGGUGGGGGUUGGAAAGUUUCGGCGGUUGGGGAUGGACUCGCGGCUUAUCAGCUUGUUGGUGGGGUAGUGGCUUACCAAGGCUUUGACGGGUAGCCGGCCUGAGAGGGUGACCGGCCACAUUGGGAAUGAGAUACGGCCCAGACUCCUACGGGAGGCAGCAGUGGGGAAUAUUGCACAAUGGGCGGAAGCCUGAUGCAGCAACGCCGCGUGCGGGAUGACGGCCUUCGGGUUGUAAACCGCUUUCGCCUGGGACGAAGCGUGAGUGACGGUAAUGGGUAAAGAAGCACCGGCUAACUACG
This 466-nucleotide ribosomal RNA is filed under the name uncultured bacterium. RNAcentral describes it as "partial 16S ribosomal RNA". It matches the Rfam family "Bacterial small subunit ribosomal RNA", at positions 28 to 505 of the family's 1533-position model. The record is from RNAcentral.